AUUGAACGCUGGCGGCAGGCUUAACACAUGCAAGUCGAACGAGUGGCGGACGGGUGAGUAAUGCUUGGGAAUCUAGCUUAUGGAGGGGGAUAAAUACGGGAAACUGUAGCUAAUACCGCAUACCAUCGGAUGUGCCCAGAUGGGAUUAGCUAGUAGGUGGGGUAAAGGCUCACCUAGGCGACGAGCCCUAGCUGGUCUGAGAGGAUGACCAGCCACACUUGAACUGGGACACGGUCCAGACUCCUACGGGAGGCAGCAGUGGGGAAUAUUGCGCAAUUGGGUCAACCCUGACGCAGCCAUGCCGCGUGUAUGAAGAAGGCCUUUGGGUUGUAAAGUACUUUCAGCGAGGAGGCGUUACCCGCAGAAGAAUCACCGGCUAACUCCGUGCCAGGCGGCGGGGUAAUUC
Molecule: ribosomal RNA, 406 nt
Filed under: uncultured bacterium
Lineage: Bacteria
Description: partial 16S ribosomal RNA
Rfam family: Bacterial small subunit ribosomal RNA
Source: RNAcentral